Molecule: long non-coding RNA, 4391 nt
Organism: Rhododendron vialii
Lineage: Eukaryota; Viridiplantae; Streptophyta; Magnoliopsida; Ericales; Ericaceae
Exons: 4
Source: RefSeq, a predicted model, not a curated record
UCUCUCUCUCUCUGUCUCUCCAACUCUCCGUUCUCAACGUCUCUCUUUCUCUCUGUCUAUCUGACUCUGAGACCGAGCUAGUUGAGCAGUAGGAGGAGAAUCGUUCGAAUCUCAGGUAAAGCACAGUCGCAGUCUCUCAACGUCUUUCUCUCUCUGUGUCUCUCCGACUCUCUCAUCACCUCAGCUCACCGACUCACUCACCAGUCACCUUCGCCUGCGAAAGAGGCAGCGUUUGGGCUGGGACGUUGCGCCUCAGGUCCCUAAGGCUACCUUCACUGACAUUCUGAAACAACUUGGUAUGCUCUCUUACAUUUUUCUUAUUUGUGUUAGGGUUAAAUCUCUCUCUUCUUUUUUUUUUUUGAUAAUGUAAAAUUGUUAGGGUUAAAUCUCAUGCUUUCAGAACAAGAGUAACUGUUUUAAUAAUGUAUACGAGCUUGGUUCUAUACUUCUAUGCUAUUAGACUACGAAGUCUCUGGUUAAAACUUUUGAUAGUGUUAUUCAGUAGCUUGGGCACUGUGUUGCAUUUUUGUAGUGGGUGUUAAAAUACCAGCUGUUGCUUUGUUAUUCCUAUAGUCCUUAUGGAUGAGCUUCUAUAGAAGACAAGGUCUGCUCUUUAUCGGUCUGGGCAUUGUUACUCUCGCUAACUUCUUGGUUACAACUACAACCAGCUAUCAGUAUUUGUUUUCUUGGUGUAUGUGCAAAGGGUGUCCAAGAAAAGGUGAUAUGACGAAAUUAAAGUCAAAAUUUAGAGACCUCUCUUAUGUGCACGAGUGAGAAACCCCGCGUGCAUUUGCAUGCUUGUGGUCAGAACUUUACUUAGGUGCAAAGAAGACUAACUCCAUCGAGAACCAAAAAGGAUUGGAUGUGAGCUUUGACUAUCUGAACUCAAGCUCAUUAUCCAUCCUUGAUGCUCACAUACGAGAAUGAUGAAACCCAACAGAAAAACCUACUUACCCCUUCGUUGUGCUUUAUUUGUAGUCUUUGUGUCCAAAUACUGUAAGAAAUCCUUCUCCUUGUUCCUCUUUCUGCAGCCGGGCGGUUCAAAAUGGAUCUUAGUUCCAGAAAGUCUUCAAUAAAGCUGAUGAUCCAGGACGAACUUACCAAACUAGCUGAUGAGGCAGAUGAUGGCGAUGCUGAGAAAGAUGAGACCCAACCCUCCAGUAAAGGUGUGAAGGCGUGACUGCCAAAAGUGAAACAAGACUAGAUGAAAAUGUAAUGGCCUUCAAUAGUCUUCCGGGAUCUUGUGAUCUAUUUUUGUAUACAGCAUGCUGUAAUUUAUGUUUAGGAGUUCUUUCACGUCACGUUGAACUUGUAUGUUUUAUGCUUUGUAGGUAUGGGUAACGUUGGGACUACGCAAGUUAAGUCGCAAAGGUUAUUCAUGACAGAUUUGGCAUUGUUGAAGCUCUCAUGACCACAGUACAUGCAAUUACUGCCACACAAAAGACUGUUGAUGGUCCAUCACAGAAGGACUGGAGAGGUGGAAGAGCUGCCUGUUUCAACAUUAUCCCCAGCAGUACCGGAGCUGCCAAGGUAUUUAUGCAAUGAUCUUCUGUUUUAUUGUAAUUAGUUGCUAGACGAAUUAUGGGUGUGCAUAUAUCUGUUAUUCAAAUGUAAACCAAUAUGUUUGGUGUUAUGGUUAAGUGGAUGAAAUAUAAAUGUUGGUCAGUUUUGUUUUCUUCCUUUCCCCAUCCCUGCAAGGCCCCUUGGAGUUCCAAAUGCUUUUCACUCCAGUUGAUUGAAUUCGUGCUCCUGUUUGUGCAUCUUGUCCACAAAUCAUGGUAUGGAUUGAUUUUUGCUUACUCAGAUCAUGCUAUUUGUUGGUAGUAUUGAUUGGAGUCUGGGGAUAUCUGUUAUUAUCACUUUAAGAUCUCUAUAUAAGUGAAUUUUGUGGCCAAGAUGUCUGAAAUUUUUUGAUUUUCCAUAGCAUUACGCAUUGCAGUGAAUUUUGUGGCCAAGAUUUCUGAAAUUUUUGAGUUUUCCCCAGCAUUACGUACUGUUACUUCAUGUACAUUUGAUAGUUUACAUAUUGUUGAGUUUGAGUUUCUGAUUGUUGUCCCUUCAGUGAAAGGAUAUUGUUGCUUUGGAUUAUUAUUCCUAUAGUAUUUCAGCUUAUGGUUUUCGAUUCUACAGAGGGGACUGUUUGUUUCCAUGACUAUUCCGUUUACUCCUUUUUGGACACAGAUUGAUUUCCGUUAUCUUCAUUACGGUUUUCGAAACUUGCGUUUUGGGAAUAACUUGAAAAUAACUGAGCUUUUAGAAAAUAUGUAGGCAAUGUUUCCAAGUUUGAAAUUAUUUUCAUGGAAAAAUGAUUUGGCCUUGAAAACUAUGAUUAUUUUCGUUUUAAUAUCUGAAAAAUGUGCUAUGGAACUGAUUUUUAAGACAAGCCUUAGAUUUGUUAAUCGGCACGGGCACGAGCACGACACGUUUGAAGGCGGCACACCACGCCACACGCACGGUCUAAUCUUGGCACGGCACGGCACACGAUUAAGUAAACGGGCCAACACGGCACGAUUCAAAAAAGGCAUGGCACGACAUGACGCGAUAAAAAAAAGCAUGGCACGACAUGACACGAUAAAAAAAGGCAUGGCACGACACGACACGACACGAUAAAAAAAGGCAUGGCACGACACGACACGACAAAAAGGAACGACACGAUACAACAAAAAAAUGCACGACAAGAUACGUCACGAUUAAUUAAUCAGGCACGUCAUGACACGACACGAAUUAAAAAAGGCACAGCCCGACAAAGUAAAAUGGCCCACAACGGAAUGCUUAAAGCACGGCACGAUGAAGUAAACGGGCACAGCAUGCCACGGCACGAUGAAGUAAAUGGGCAUGGCAUGGAAGUCGAAUGGCACGGCACGUUAGGCAUGUUGGACACCUCUACUAAUUUCAAAACGAAGUCUGAACGCCUCCAUCUUUUUUGGUUGGAAAAAUUAUUCAUUGCCCCCGAGAAAGGGGGCACUGAAUGAUCUCUUGUUUGGUUAGUUUUGUUAUUUUUGAGAUAAGUUUUUCGUACUCAAUUUUUUAUUUUUUAUUUGGAAUAAAUGGGGUGUAUUGCGAUGAUGAUAACUGUUAAUCCCAGCUCAUUAUGAGACCUCCUCUUUUGUGAGAAGGUUAGGGAAAAUACUCUAUCCUAACAUGUAUCUGAGCUUCGUACUUUUUUCUUUUUCUUUGAUUUUUAGAUUUAAUUUCUACUUGGUUCUUUAUUGAAAAAAAGAAAGAAAGAAAGAAAAGGGUUUUGAUGUUCCCUGUGAUGUUUAUGACCAUGCUAAUUCAGAUCAUUAUAUGAUCGAAUACUUCUUCAUCUUAUCUUCUGAGGGAACAUUCUUCUCCUUCUUUGAUUUCCUCAUUUUAUUUUACUAUAUUCGUUACUCCAUCCCUGUUCUUUUUGUUGGUAAUUCUUUUCGCUAUUACUAUGAAUGUUUUUGAGAUCAUUGAAUGUUUAAAUUUACGAGAAUUAGAAUCUAGGGGUAUGGUUCCGCUAACUUAAAUAUAUAAUAAGUGAUUGGCAAUAAUCAAGUCUUUUCUACUAAAUGGUAUUACCAUUUUAGCAGAUGUACGUGAGGAGCCUAGAAAUCAUUUGAAUAUGAAAUUUGGUCCAUUUAGUUUAGCGAAACACACCAUACAUAGAUUUUAGUUUUCGGAGGUGAGUUAGUUUCCGGACUGUGUUGGCAUUGGACGGUCCGGAUUUUAAUGAAACUUUUCUCCCAAAACUUUUUCAUUAAAAUUCGGACCGUCCAAUGUACUUUGGACGGGUACAAUUUACCUUUGAUAACCAUUAUUUAGCUCUGUGAAAUAAUUUUUCUUAAAAAAAGAGGUUUUUUUUUUUGAUCCGCCUUAAAAAAAGAAGUUAGAAAACAUGUUUCCGUAGAAAGUACUGGGCCACAAAAUAUGCAACCUUGGGUCAUGCCCAACCAUACCCAGUCUUGUUCCCAGUCCACGAGGCCUCCCUUUUUCAGGCCUCCCAAUAACCAUAUCAUGGGUAUAUACGUAAAAUCAUGUAGACAGCCCUCAAUAAACCCUAACUCUAGCCCAUCAAUCGCUUUAUUUAUACCCCAUGCCUCUUCUUCCUGUGCUUCACGAAGCCUUCUAAAUUUGCCCAAAUCUAACCUGCAGGUCUCUCUCUCUCUCUGUGGAUGCUCAUGUUAGUAUCUGUAUGUACAAGUCUGAGAGACGCUUUUCGUUGUAAUUUUCAAACAAAGCCUGAAAUGCUUCCAUCUUUUUUGGUUGGAAAAAUUAUUCAUUGCCCCCGAGCAAGGGGGCACUGAAUGAUCUCUUGUUUGGUUGUCAGUUUUGAUAUUUUUUUAUAUAAGUUUUUCGUACUCAAUUUUUGUUUUUUUUUGGAAUAAAGGGGGUGUAUUGCGAUGAUGAUAUCUGUUAAUCCCAGC